This 306-nucleotide unclassified non-coding RNA is filed under the name plant metagenome. RNAcentral's name for it is "partial contains 5.8S ribosomal RNA, internal transcribed spacer 2, and large subunit ribosomal RNA". The stretch from base 1 to 105 matches the Rfam family "5.8S ribosomal RNA", at positions 50 to 154 of the family's 154-position model. The record is from RNAcentral.
GAAAUGCGAUAAGUAGUGUGAAUUGCAGAAUUCAGUGAAUCAUCGAAUCUUUGAACGCACAUUGCGCCCCUUGGUAUUCCAUGGGGCAUGCCUGUUCGAGUGUCAUCUACACCCUCAAGCUCUGCUUGGUGUUGGGCGUCUUUGUCCCGCCUCCGCGCGCGGACUCGCCCCAAAUUCAUUGGCAGCGGUCCUUGCCUCCUCUCGCGCAGCACAUUGCGCUUCUCGAGGUGUUGCAGCCCGCGUCCAGAAAGCAAUCGUUACCGUCUUUGACCUCGGAUCAGGUAGGGAUACCCGCUGAACUUAAGC